RNAcentral lists this ribosomal RNA (119 nucleotides) under Pteropus alecto (black flying fox). The record is from RNAcentral. Lineage: Eukaryota; Metazoa; Chordata; Mammalia; Chiroptera; Pteropodidae.
GUCUAUGGCCAUGCCACUCUGAACAAGCCCCAUCUCAUCUGAUUUCGGAAGGUAAGCAGGGUCGGGCCUGGUUAGUACUCGGAUGGGAGACCACCUAGGAAGACCAGGUGCUAUAGGCA